Molecule: ribosomal RNA, 253 nt
Filed under: uncultured bacterium
Lineage: Bacteria
Description: partial 16S ribosomal RNA
Rfam family: Bacterial small subunit ribosomal RNA
Source: RNAcentral
UACGUAGGUGGCAAGCGUUGUCCGGAUUUACUGGGCGUAAAGAGCGCGCAGGCGGUCGUUCAAGUCGCGUGUGAAAGCCCCCGGCUCAACUGGGGAGGGUCACGCGAUACUGUCCGACUCGAAGGCAGGAGAGGGAAGCGGAAUUCCCGGUGUAGUGGUGAAAUGCGUAGAUAUCGGGAGGAACACCAGUGGCGAAGGCGGCUUUCUGGCCUGUUCUUGACGCUGAGACGCGAAAGCGUGGGGAGCGAACAGG